This 731-nucleotide long non-coding RNA is filed under the name Homo sapiens (human). RNAcentral's name for it is "non-protein coding lnc-ESRP1-5:1". Lineage: Eukaryota; Metazoa; Chordata; Mammalia; Primates; Hominidae. The record is from RNAcentral.
GGUCCCAAGAAGCACCUGAAGUGAGCAGCAGCCCCAAAGCAUUGGAUGCUGGAUGAAUUAACCGGUAUGUUUGCUCCUUGUACAUCCACUGGUCCCUACAAGCUGAGAGUCUCUCCUCAUCAUUUUCCUAAGGAACUGACUUAAGUAUACCCUGACAGGAGAUGAAGAAAAGAAGAUCUGCAUGCAGCGGUUCAUUAAGAUUAAUGGCAAGGUCUGAACUGAUAUAACCUACCCUUCUGGUUUCAUGAAUGUCAUCAGCAUUGACAAGACCAGAGAGCAUUUCCAUCUAAUCUAUGACACUAAGGGUCACUUCGCUGUUCAUCCUAUUACACCCCAGAAGACAAAGUACAAGUUGUGCAAAGUGAGAAAAACCUUUGUGAGCACAAAAGGAAUCCCUCAUCUGGUGACUCAUGACGCUUUCACCGUCUGCUACCCUGAUUCCCUCAUCAAGGUGAAUGACCCCAUUUAGACUGACUUGUAGACUGGCAAGAUUACUGAUUUCCUCAAGUUUGACACUGGUAGCGUACGUAUGGUUACUGGAGGUGCUAAUCUGAGACAAACUGGUGUGAUCACCAACAGAGAAAAGACAUCUUGGAUCUUUUGAUGUGGUUCAUGUGAAAGAUGCCAAUGGCAACAGCUUUAUCACCAGGCUCUCCAACAUUUUUGACAUUGGCAAGGGCAGCCACUGCUGAAGACAGAGACAAGAGACUGGCAGCCAAAUCAGUGGGUAA